UUCCAUCGCUGCGAUGACUCACGCUAAAUUUUGUACGCCGACAGACGGCAAACAUUAUAAUGCGCUCAGUUUGUGCCGGCCAGUCAACGGGUUAACUGCCUAUACGACAUAAAUAUUGAUACAUUUCGUUACAACUCCGUCGGCGACACUACACCAUCCGAUAAUAUCAACAUGACUUACUACACGACCAGGUGCACUCCCACGGUCCGCCCGGCAGCCGAUUUCGACGCCGAAGCCGACGCCGCCGUACUUAGGGCAGCCAUGAAAGGAUUCGGUACGGACGAGCAGGCCAUCAUCGACGUGCUGGCAAGACGGUCCAACACUCAGAGACAGGAGAUCAAAGAAGCUUUCAAGACACUCUACGGAAAGGAUUUAAUCGACGAUCUGAAGAGCGAACUCGGUGGGAACUUCGAGAACGCCAUCGUCGCUCUGAUGACUCCACUUCCGGAGUUCUAUGCCAAGGAGUUGAAAGACGCCAUCAGUGGCGUGGGCACUGACGAAGAGGCCAUUGCCGAAAUUUUGGGCACUCUCAGCAACUUCGGAGUCCGAACCAUUUCCUCUGUCUACGAAAAACAAUACGGAAACUCGUUGGAAGACGAUUUGAAAUCCGACACUUCGGGAUCUUUCCAGAGGUUGUUGGUGUCUUUGUGCUGUGCCAAUCGCGAUGAAGACGUGGAAGUCGAUCGCAGCGCCGCAGUCGCAGACGCCCAGGCUCUAAUCGACGCAGGUGAAGCUCAAUGGGGCACGGACGAGUCGACUUUCAAUUCGAUUUUGGCCACCCGCUCCUAUCCACAGCUGAGAGCCAUUUUCGAAGAGUACGAGAACCUCACUGGCAAGGACAUCGUAGAGACUAUCAAGAACGAAACUUCCGGCGCUCUGGAACACGGCUUUUUGACCAUCGUGAAAAGUGCCAAGAAGAAGAGCGACUACUACGCCGACCAGUUGGAAGCUUCGAUGGCGGGCUUCGGCACCAGCGACCGUCAGCUGAUCAGGAUCAUCGUGGGCAGAUCUGAAAUCGAUUUGGGAGACAUCAAACAGUCCUACGAGACCAUUUACGGUACUCCGUUGGCCGACAGAAUCGCCGGCGACACCUCUGGGGAUUACAAGCGUCUGUUAUUGGCUCUCGUGCUCUAAUAAAGCUUAGAAAUGCAUGAGGAAAGGCACUUCAGUUCUUGCUUUAUACCUGUACCGACUUUUAAUUUCAUGGCGAUUGCGGAGCGGAGUGUAAAAGUCUAUUGAGAACUAUCGUUGAUCAAUAAUCAUAACUAUUUUUAUAUUAUUAUAAAAUAUAACAAUACCUUAAUACCAUGGCAUAUUAUACCUAAUAAUAUUAUUCAACGCAUAUGCUUUUUAUAAUUAUCGUUUCCGUAUAUUCUUUAGCUGUGCGUAUUAUACUAUUAUAUACGAUAUAUACCUACCUAUUGUUGUUAUCAGUAUUUAUUACUUUUUAAUUAUUACGUUCAUACCUAUAUUUUUUUAUAUUAAAUUUUGUGAACAAUUUAUUGAUAGUACGAAAACAAUGCACGUUAUAGUUAAUCGGCCCACACAAAUUAUAUUAUAAUUUUAUUGAAAUGCCAAUUAUUUAUUAGGUAAUUAUUAAAAUAUAUUUAAUUUAUCAUUUAUGUAAAAAAAAUUAUGAGUUUUUGGCCACACAAACUAUUAUAGUACCUAAUUAACUACUAUUAUGAAUGUAAACAUUCUUUUUUUAUACCAAUUUGAAUAUAUUAUAGACCGCUUAUGAGC
This is an RNA transcript of Acyrthosiphon pisum (pea aphid), 1743 nucleotides long. It is a transcript of the gene named annexin IX-like, with no coding region annotated. Lineage: Eukaryota; Metazoa; Arthropoda; Insecta; Hemiptera; Aphididae. The record is from RefSeq and is marked provisional. The transcript has 10 exons.